AUAACAUGAUGGGAGCUUGCUCCCAUGCGUCGAGCGGCGGACGGGUGAGUAACACGUGGGAAUCUGCCCAUUAGUGGGGGAUAACUCGGGGAAACUCGAGCUAAUACCGCAUAAUCCCUACGGGGGAAAGCAGGGGAUCUUCGGACCUUGCGCUGAUGGAUGAGCCCGCGUCGGAUUAGCUUGUUGGUGGGGUAAUGGCCCACCAAGGCGACGAUCCGUAACUGGUCUGAGAGGAUGGCCAGUCACACCGGGACUGAGACACGGCCCGGACUCCUACGGGAGGCAGCAGUGGGGAAUCUUGGACAAUGGGCGCAAGCCUGAUCCAGCCAUGCCGCGUGUGUGAAGAAGGCCUUCGGGUUGUAAAGCACUUUCAGUAGGGAGGAAGGCUUUGGGCUAAUACCCUGGAGUACUUGACGUUACCUACAGAAGAAGCACCGGCUAAUUUCGUGCCAGCAGCCGCGGUAAUACGAAAGGUGCGAGCGUUAAUCGGAAUUACUGGGCGUAAAGCGCGCGUAGGCGGUGUGUUAAGUCGGAUGUGAAAGCCCAGGGCUCAACCUUGGAAUUGCAUCCGAUACUGGCACGCUAGAGUGCAGUAGAGGGAGGUGGAAUUUCGGUGUAGCGGUGAAUGCGUAGAGAUCGGAGGAAACAGUGCGAGGCGGCUCUGACUGACCUGACGCUGAGUGCGAAGCGUGGGAGCANAGGAUAGAUACCUGGUAGUCACGCCGUAACGAUGUCACUAGCCGUGGGGGUCCUAGUGACUUGGGUGCCCAGCUACGCAAUAGUNACGCCUGGGAAUCGGCGCAGGUAAACUCAUUAUUGCGGGCGACACCGUGACUUGUUAUCAUCACGAAACUCAGCUACUCGCACUCUAAUAUGUCUGGACAGACGGUCAUCUUUACCGUUGAUUGUUUCCU
Molecule: ribosomal RNA, 914 nt
Filed under: Alcanivorax sp. NIOB 441
Lineage: Bacteria; Pseudomonadati; Pseudomonadota; Gammaproteobacteria; Oceanospirillales; Alcanivoracaceae
Description: bacterial SSU rRNA
Rfam family: Bacterial small subunit ribosomal RNA
Source: RNAcentral